GGCAGGAGGCAGUGGUGUUGGUGGGAAGCGCAGCUCGAAAAGCGAUGCCGAUUCUGGUUUCCUGGGGCUGCGGCCCACUUCGGUGGACCCAGCGCUGAGGCGGCGGCGGCGAGGCCCAAGAAAUAAGAAGCGGGGCUGGCGGCGGCUUGCUCAGGAGCCGCUGGGGCUGGAGGUUGACCAGUUCCUGGAAGACGUGCGGCUACAGGAGCGCACGAGCGGUGGCUUGUUGUCAGAGGCCCCAAAUGAAAAACUCUUCUUCGUGGACACUGGCUCCAAGGAAAAAGGGCUGACAAAGAAGAGAACCAAGGUCCAGAAGAAGUCACUGCUUCUCAAGAAGCCCCUUCGGGUUGACCUCAUCCUCGAGAACACAUCCAAAGUCCCUGCCCCCAAAGACGUCCUCGCCCACCAGGUCCCCAAUGCCAAGAAGCUCAGGCGGAAGGAGCAGCUAUGGGAGAAGCUGGCCAAGCAGGGCGAGCUGCCCCGGGAGGUGCGCAGGGCCCAGGCCCGGCUCCUCAACCCUUCCGCAGCAAGGGCCAAGCCCGGGCCCCAGGACACCGUAGAGCGGCCCUUCUACGACCUCUGGGCCUCAGACAACCCCCUGGACAGGCCGUUGGUUGGCCAGGAUGAGUUUUUCCUGGAGCAGACCAAGAAGAAAGGAGUGAAGCGGCCAGCACGCCUGCACACCAAGCCGUCCCAGGCACCCGCUGUGGAGGUGGCGCCUGCCGGAGCUUCCUACAAUCCAUCCUUUGAAGACCACCAGACCCUGCUCUCAGCGGCCCACGAGGUGGAGUUGCAGCGGCAGAAGGAGGCGGAGAAGCUGGAGCGGCAGCUGGCCCUGCCCACCACGGAGCAGGCCGCCACCCAGGUGAGCCCCGCACCUGCCCACUGCCUCCCCUCCCCGGGCCUCCUACCCACCCCUGACACUGCACCCCGCCUCCCCAGGAGUCCACAUUCCAGGAGCUGUGCGAGGGGCUGCUGGAGGAGUCGGAUGGUGAGGGGGAGCCAGGCCAGGGCGAGGGGCCGGAGGCUGGGGAUGCCGAGGUCUGUCCCACGCCCGCCCGCCUGGCCACCACAGAGAAGAAGACGGAGCAGCAGCGGCGGCGGGAGAAGGCUGCGCACAGGCUGCGGGUACAGCAGGCCGCGUUGCGGGCCGCCCGGCUCCGGCACCAGGAGCUGUUCCGGCUGCGCGGGAUCAAGGCCCAGGUGGCCCUGAGGCUGGCGGAGCUGGCGCGGCGGCGGAGGCAGCGGCAGGCGCGGCGGGAGGCCGAGGCUGACAAGCCCCGAAGGCUGGGGCGGCUCAACCCGAGGGCAACAUCCUUCGAGACCGGUUCAAGAGCUUCCAGAGGAGGAAUAUGAUCGAGCCUCGAGAGAGAGCCAAGUUCAAACGCAAGUACAAGGUGAAGCUGGUGGAGAAGCGGGCGUUCCGCGAGAUCCA
Molecule: small RNA, 1435 nt
Filed under: Pan troglodytes (chimpanzee)
Lineage: Eukaryota; Metazoa; Chordata; Mammalia; Primates; Hominidae
Description: processed transcript
Source: RNAcentral